Small nuclear RNA from Oryctolagus cuniculus (rabbit), 107 nucleotides. NCBI's taxonomy places the organism in Eukaryota, Metazoa, Chordata, Mammalia, Lagomorpha, Leporidae. The record is from Ensembl.
GUGCUCGCUUUGGCAACACAUAUACUAAAAUUGGAAUGAUACCGAGAAGAUUAGCAUGGCCCCUGCGCAAGGAUGAUAUGCAAAUUCAUGAAGUGUUCCAUAUUUUU